GGGUACAUAAUUACGUAUCCAGAGCAACUAUGCAGUGCAAGAUACAGUGCCGAUCACUCAAGAGCUGGUUCCGUGCCCUACUGCUCCGUGCUCUGUAGCGUUGGGGGUAGUCCGGGCUACCGGAUCUAUCCUAUCCAGUACGUCCUGGCCCUGUUUUGGCAUGUGUUGACUCCAUGAUUUCGCUGGUCCAUCCAUCUCCUACCUACUCCACUCCACUGCAGAAAAAACAUCAGGAGCUGC
Molecule: long non-coding RNA, 240 nt
Filed under: Setaria italica (foxtail millet)
Lineage: Eukaryota; Viridiplantae; Streptophyta; Magnoliopsida; Poales; Poaceae
Description: long non-coding RNA (SITA_LNC002485)
Source: RNAcentral